This 23-nucleotide transfer RNA is filed under the name Bulbophyllum napellii. RNAcentral's name for it is "partial tRNA-His". The record is from RNAcentral. Lineage: Eukaryota; Viridiplantae; Streptophyta; Magnoliopsida; Asparagales; Orchidaceae.
GCGGAUGUAGCCCAGUGGAUCAA